UAGAAUGUGAAAGGCCAUUAGACAUUUUUGUUUCUCAUAGCCUUUCACAUUCUUAGA
RNAcentral lists this microRNA precursor (57 nucleotides) under Monodelphis domestica (gray short-tailed opossum). RNAcentral's name for it is "Mdo-Mir-7359-P1b_pre stem-loop". It matches the Rfam family "mir-7359 microRNA precursor family". Lineage: Eukaryota; Metazoa; Chordata; Mammalia; Didelphimorphia; Didelphidae. The record is from RNAcentral.